UUUCCGUAGGUGGACCUGCGGAAGGAUCAUUACUGAGUGAGGGGCCCUCGGGGUCCAACCUCCCACCCGUGUUUAACGAACAUUGUUGCUUCGGCGGGCCCGGCUCACGGGCGCCGGGGGGGAUUCGCCCCCGGGCCGCCGCCCGCCGAAUCCUACUAUGAUCGCUGUCAGAUGUAUGCAGUUUGCGAAAUUUAUUAAAUUAAUUAAAACUUUCAACAACGGAUCUCUUGGUUCCG
Molecule: unclassified non-coding RNA, 236 nt
Filed under: plant metagenome
Description: partial contains small subunit ribosomal RNA, internal transcribed spacer 1, and 5.8S ribosomal RNA
Source: RNAcentral